AACAUGGAAACUGGCAGGCUUCUCCGCCAACGGCCAAUCGUCCUAACGACGUCGUGGAAAGACCUUUGACUCCUGUCAACCCACUGUUGCUCGUGCUGGUUCCUCUUUUACGAGGUAGCCUUAUAAAUCUAGAUUCUCCUGGAACGUUGCUGAUCCAUUAACCCGGCUCCGCGUGCCCGGUUGUGGCCCUAGAAUCCCGUCGCUUAACCUCGAAGUUAUCCUCCGAUCAAAUUCAAAUUCUACUUCCAGAAACCACUUCAUCCUCUCCUCCCCUCUCUCCGAUCCCUCCGUCUUCGCAAACUGAAUCAAAGGUCUGCCUUCAGAAUUUCUUUCCGGAUUGUUCGUCUUAUUUCUCCAAACAAACCCUAAGCAAAGCCAGUUUUUGCUUACGGUUCAUCGGAAUUUAUUUUGCCGUAAAAGUUGACGAGGACUUGGAAACGUGGUUGUUUUGUUACGUUUUGUUAGCUGCUGAGGUACUAUGGAGAAUGUGUACUCUCAUGAAGGCUCUGGCACAAGCCAUGUUUCUGGAGAAGGUUCAGAUGCAACUAUAGAGCUCAAUAUCAAGACUUUAGAUUCACAGAUUUAUAGUUUUCAGGUUGACAAAAAUAUGCCAGUUUCCGUAUUCAAGGAGAAAAUAGCAAAUGAAAUCAGUAUACCUGUGAGUCAGCAUCGGCUGAUUUUCAGGGGAAGGGUUUUGAAGGAUGAACAUCUCCUUUCCGAAUAUCAAGUGGAAAAUGGGCAUACACUGCACGUGGUUGCAAGGCAGCCUGCCCAACCACAACCUUCAGCUGGUACAAGCUCUGGGGAUACAAUGGGGAAUAAUAGUAAUCAGGUAAACGAUGCAAGCGCUAGUGCGCCUCGAAAUCGCAGUGGGCAGUUAUCUCACAGUGUGGUUCUUGAGACAUUUAAUGAUGGGGACCAAGGGGAAGGCAUUGUUCCGGAUGUCUCUCGGGUUAUUGGGGCUGUUCUAAACUUGUUUGGAGUUAGUGGCCAGACAGCAACCAGCAGCAUAGGUGGCAUGCAAUCAUCAAAUAUGCCAAAUUUUACUGGUCUAGCUUCUCAGGGAAGUGAAACUGGUGGAUCUCGUGGCAAUGUUGGUGGUCAGAGCUCUGCAGGAAAUCAAACACGAUCUGGCCAGCCAUUUCAAUCAGCACCUCAAGUUGUGCAAAUUCCUCUGUCUGCAGCUAUACCUGUUCCUUCACUUCAUUCGCCAAUUCCUGAUUCUUUGAACACACUUUCCGAGUUCAUUACACGCAUGGAACGGGUGCUAGCUCAAAAUGGUAAUCAGCCAUAUACAUCAACAACAAGCAUGGAAGACCCACCAAGGGUAGAAUUACCUUCCAAUGCACGGGGCUAUCCGACGCCUGAAGCAUUGAGCAUUGUCUUAUGUCAUGCAGCACGGCUUCUCAGUGGUCCUGCAACAACUGCAUUAUCUCAUACUGCAGGAUGCCUGGAACAAAAUGGUUCCUCUACUGAUCCUGCUAUAAGGGGUCAAAUUCAGACAGAAACAAUGCAAGUAGGCCUUGCAAUGCAACAUUUAGGUGCUCUUUUUCUGGAGCUUGGUCGCACAAUCUUGACGCUACGUAUGGGACAACCUCCAAUGGAACCUUCUGUAAAUGCUGGGCCUGCUGUUUAUAUUUCUCCAUCAGGGCCUAAUCCCAUAAUGGUCCAGCCUUUUCCUCUUCAAACCAAUUCCCUUUUUGGUAGUUUGGUUCCGCCAUCGAAUCCCAUGGCAUUCGGUCCUGUUGGUGUUGGAAAUGCUCCAAGGCAUGUAAACAUUCAUAUACAUGCUGGGACCUCGCUGGCAUCUGUUAUUCCAACCAUAGGUACCAGGACAAGCGGUACAGGGAUACAGGGAGAACAUGGUAAUGCUGCUGGUUUGGGUGUUUCAGGCCCAGAGCAGCCGCUGCCAGCAAGAAAUGUUGUUGCAGCAACAGUCCCUUCACCCUCAGCAGGUGUUACAGUUGCUGCACAACCUGGUCUUGGGCUUUCAAAUUCACAGCCAUCUUCUGAUUCCAUGUCAUUAAGCUCUAUAAUGAGCGGAAUAAACUCGCAACUGAGACAACUUGCUGGCAAUAGGCAAGGAGGAAACCAGCCCGCAUCAGGCUCUGCUGGAUCUGUAGCAGGUAAUAAUCCAAUAAACUUACAGAUGAAUAGCACUGUGGUGAAUGGAGCUGGGGAAUCUAAUGUGUCAUUACCUGGAGUUAUGUCAGAAUGCCAUGACCAGAAGGCUCAAGUACAUGACAAUGAUCCUUUGAGCUUGAAAGACAUACCAUCUCCUUCAGUGGGCGUAUCGUCUUCUUCAGUGAACAUACCAUCAUCUUCAGUGAAUAUAUCAUCUUCUUCAGUGGAAUGUCCUACUGUAGAAACUUCUCAGAAGUCUCAAGAUACUUCUCAUAGUGCUUCCAGUUCCAGCACUAAAGCUGUUCCACUUGGUUUGGGUUUGGGGAGCUUGGACCGCAAGAGACGAACCAAGCAGCCAAACUCACGUGGUAGUGGUGAUAGUGGAACAACCAAUACCCAUUUCAAUCGGAACCCAGAAGCUGGAAUCAGUGGCCAACAGCUUUUACAGUCUCUUGCAUCUCGCAGCUCUAGUACAAAUAGGACUGGUGCACAUGACACACCCCCAGAUCCUGUAGCCCCCCUUCAUGGGCAGGUCAUGGAGGGUAGACAACCAAGAGAUUUAAGUGCUGAUGGCCAGUUUGACAGUGCUAGUGCUAUGUCUCAGGUUCUACGUAGUCCUGUUAUGAAUAAUUUGUUUGCAGGGAUUUCAGAACAAACCGGUGUUGGUUCUCCCAAUGUCUUGAGGAACAUGUUGCAACAGCUCACUCAGAAUCCCCAAAUAAUGAAUACUGUCAGUCAGAUUGCUCAGCAGGUUGACAGCCAAGAUCUAGGAAAUAUGUUCUCAGGUUUAGGCAGUGGCCAAGGCGGCGGAUUUGAUCUGUCAGGGAUGGUCCAACAAAUGAUGCCUGUUGUUUCCCAGGUUCUUGGCCAUGGAUCGCCUACUCCCCAGCUGUUUCCUACCCCAGAAUCUGAACCCCAGAAGAGAUCCAAUGAGAGGGAAUCAAUUGGAGCUGAAAAUCCUAAUGAUAAUAACAUUCAGAUCAACCUCCACGAAGUGGCUCAGAGGAUUGAACAGUUUGCUGCACCUCAAGAUGUAUUUCAAGCCAUUGUUGGCAAUGCAGUGAGGUUGAGUGGCAAUGGAAGCAAUGCUGAAGAUAUUCAGCAUGAAUUGAACAACAAUGAGGAUUUAGCGAGUAGUUAUGUAGAGAUGCUGCAGCGUGAUAUUCAGCGGCGACUUCAGGAUGACUAUGGGGAGGACAAGUGCUAACCAUUCUGUAUUGAAAUGGUUCUGAUAUUUCUCAUGUGAUACAGAUCCAAACAAAUUUCGGGAUAUGAUCACCUCUGCUGGGUCACCUUCAAAUUAAUCUUUCUGUCUGUUGAAUGUUGUACAAAAUCGAGCUUUGGGCUUGAGGUGCUCCAAAUUAUAGGUUGUUGGCAGUUUCGGCUUGAAUUGCUGCUAGUUAGCAUUCCAUGCUUGAAUUCUGUUCGUUUGUGUUCUUUUGGCGGGGAUUCUAUAAUCCUUUUAUAUAUUUUAUUGGUCUUGGAUUUGAAUCGUUUGAUAAAUCUCGGGUUCUAAUUGUCAAUCUCUACGACUAUUCUACUCAUCUUUCCUUGUUCCCGUUUUUUAAUCCACUCGUAAAUGAGGAUGGUCACCAGUCGGUUGAGGUUUUCCUUGUGUUCUGCUCGGGUCAUUUAUGAUUUUGGAUCUUCUUCGCUCGGUUGGAUUUUUAUUUUCUAUAAUAUCUGUAAUAUAUUCAAGUACAAUACAGAUUAUUGCAUGUGA
Molecule: RNA transcript, 3847 nt
Organism: Populus euphratica (Euphrates poplar)
Lineage: Eukaryota; Viridiplantae; Streptophyta; Magnoliopsida; Malpighiales; Salicaceae
Gene name: large proline-rich protein BAG6-like
Exons: 19
Source: RefSeq, a predicted model, not a curated record